This 49-nucleotide small RNA is filed under the name uncultured Faecousia sp. RNAcentral's name for it is "Streptococcus sRNA SpF59 (ldcC RNA)". It matches the Rfam family "Streptococcus sRNA SpF59 (ldcC RNA)". Lineage: Bacteria; Bacillati; Bacillota; Clostridia; Eubacteriales; Oscillospiraceae. The record is from RNAcentral.
GACCACCCUCCGGGGUUAAGGCCAUACGGACAGCCGGGUCUAAUGCCGA